ACGCUCGACACCUAGGAGGCAGCAGUGGGGAAUAUUGCACAAUGGGGGAAACCCUGAUGCAGCGACGCCGCGUGAGCGAAGAAGUAUCUCGGUAUGUAAAGCUCUAUCAGCAGGGAAGAAGAUGACGGUACCUGACUAAGAAGCACCGGCUAAAUACGUGCCCGCAGCUGCGGUAAUCUGAGCGGGCUGGCAAGGC
This 196-nucleotide ribosomal RNA is filed under the name uncultured bacterium. RNAcentral describes it as "partial 16S ribosomal RNA". It matches the Rfam family "Bacterial small subunit ribosomal RNA", at positions 328 to 539 of the family's 1533-position model. The record is from RNAcentral.